UGAUUGCUCCCUCGUGUGACACUUCUAAAUAGAUGCCUUAUGGAAAAGGAUUCCCACCUCGUGACCAGCUGCGGUGAUGAAACCCUCCUGGGACACUCAGGGCAGACCGGGAUGCUUUCAGCAAGAAGCAAUGCUCAUCUGUUGUGCUCACGUGUGAGUGGUGAAGGCCACACUAAUGCCGUGCCAGCCUGGUAGGAUGCGAAACAAAAUGUGUCAGGGUUGGUCCCUUCAGGGGAGCACCCCUG
RNAcentral lists this long non-coding RNA (245 nucleotides) under Gallus gallus (chicken). RNAcentral's name for it is "long non-coding RNA NONGGAT004789". The record is from RNAcentral. Lineage: Eukaryota; Metazoa; Chordata; Aves; Galliformes; Phasianidae.